UCUUGUAGCCAGAGAGCACUGAGGAAACAGCGGCUUCUUCCAACACAUUAACUGGGUGACCCAGCACUACUGUUGUCUGCCUCUGAGAUAUCAUGGUGUCUAGCUUCCACAAACUGUAAACCAAAGGACUCUGAGACACAGCCAUCUCCCAGGAGCAAUGUGACCCCCACAGUCUAGUUACCUGAAUGAAGCACUUGCCAACAAAGGAACCUUAACAUUUCCGAAAACUGCAGCAAGUUCCCUGACACCGUCAGCUUUCAGCAAUGAUGGAGAAUACAUUUUCUGCAGCUGGUUGCAACUGAUCCAGAGUUUCAAGACCACUACUUGAGAAACCACUGGGUCAGAAGAUUCCUCAACCAAGAGUCUCCUAACCCAGAGCCACUUACAUGGGGAGGUGCAGUACGCUGGCUCACUGGAGAAGACCAUGGGAAGGGAGGCCAAGCGGGGGAAGAUGGUAAGACCACCGCAGCUGGUAGGACUGUUCACCACAGGCCUUCACAACUACAUGACCUUUGUUCAAAGUCAGACUUUUCCAUUCUCUGUUUUGGACUCAGGAGUUGGUAGCUUUGAGAAUCCCCUAGCUUUACAUCCAAAACCACUGCUGGCCUGUUGCUUACCAACAUUUGCAGAGAGGAGAGGCGAGCUAGGUGGGAUUCCUUCUCCAGGAACGCUUGCCAGCAUGAGUUCAAGAUGAACAGAUGAACCCCCAGACCCUUUUUCCUACAGGUGCUGGAGUUUAAGUAGACAGGGGUGGGCGGUGGGGGCGGGGAUCUGGCAUGGAACCCAGAAGGGUAGGGGAAGCUGAAAUCACACCUCGAGUCUCGCCACAAA
Long non-coding RNA from Chinchilla lanigera (long-tailed chinchilla), 831 nucleotides. RefSeq lists it as uncharacterized. The record is from RefSeq and is a predicted model, not a curated record. Lineage: Eukaryota; Metazoa; Chordata; Mammalia; Rodentia; Chinchillidae. The transcript has 4 exons.